Molecule: long non-coding RNA, 5052 nt
Organism: Mustela lutreola (European mink)
Lineage: Eukaryota; Metazoa; Chordata; Mammalia; Carnivora; Mustelidae
Exons: 3
Source: RefSeq, a predicted model, not a curated record
CCCCACCCCCCAACCUGUCCAUCUGGCAAACCUUCCUCACGCCCCUCUCUCUGCUUUUCCUGGCUCCAUUCAGACCUUCCUGCUCCUGUCCUCCCGCAGGGUCUUACACAAAACCCCACUGUAGCAAUGAUUGCCGUGGGUUUUGAUGGUGUGCUAGCUCCUUGAUGCUAGACACUGUAUGUAGCCUUUUGUCACCAGUGCGGAUCACAGAGCCUGGCCAAGAGGGACCCUCCGUUGUGCGGGAAGAAGACAGAAUGUUGCUCAUGGGCUUCUCCACUCAUGGGGGACCUUAUGACGUCAUCGUGGGCCCAGAACCUCCGGCCACUGAAGACUUCCUCAUUGAUGUUGGGGACUGCCUCUUCUUCCCGGUGGAAAUCUUCUGGCAUGUGCACAUGGCCAUAGCUUCCCCUUCACAUGUUUAUGGGCUGAUAUCUACAUUCCCUGGGUCAUCAUCAUUCCAGACCCAAAGACCAGUCUGUCGUGCCUGGUAGUCCUCAUGCACACCUCAGCCUCUCAAUUAAUUUUAUCCCUCUCCCUGGUCCUGCUCCAGCCCCAGCUGUCUUCCUUGGUGGGGUGGGCCGGGGGCGGGGGCAGCGAGCUCAUUUGCCUACUUGAGUCCAGGUGUGAGCCUGGCACCUAGGUGGGCUUGACUGCUAGGCUGAUGCUGCCUGAUGCCCCUUCUCCUCCCUUCCACCUCUUCCUUCACCGCCCUGCUGCCCUCCAGAGCCCAGCCCCACACAGAACCUUAGAGGCAGCCAUUUCAAGUGGUUUCUAAGAGCCCUCAUUGGAAAAAACCUUGCAACCAUCCAGCAGUGCUGAUCUUAUGUGAGCUAGCACAAAUCCGAAAUUAAACUAAGCAAAUGGCACUAAUCCCAUCAUGGUCGUCAAACCUAGCCCAUUACAGGAGGCAGUUCGGAGGGUGGGAGGCUGAGUUUCUGGCUUGUGUGAGGGAGGCCCCAGAGAUCAGGUUGCCACAGAUCAGGUUCACUGGGGAUAAGAACGGGCAGUUACAAUUACAGGUGCUGUUUACAUACUUUGCCCCUUGCCCUUGACACAGUCCAGAAGGAGCCCCAGGUGCCCUGCUCUGUACCUCUUAGGGUUAGCCACAAACCCUGGGAGACAAGAAAAGCCUCCCACCCCCAAAGAAAGCCAGGGCCCAUGCAAUGCCCCAUUUGGGCGCCUCUACAGGCCAGAUGCCCUGGAAAGGGCUUUCUUUCUUUUCCCUUUUCUUCCUUUUUUGUCUUUCUUUUCAAUACUGUUUUUACAAGGUGGAACUCCUCUGCGUCACAGAAGAAACCCAACUCUCCUGCUGUUUUCAGCCUUUUUAAAAACAGAGGUAUUGGUAUAAUGCCAGUCUUUGAAACAAAUUUCCCGUAGUUUUUCCAAGGGAUGGCCAGGGGAUUUGGACCUGAAGAAGUGGCCCUUUCGUCCAGUGCAGGAAAACAACCAGGCUUGCUCAUUCCGUACGGAUGUCACGCUUGCCCUCAGCACCUGUUGCAGGCCCCAAAGCCACGGUGGGGGACGGCUGUGGAUCUGGCAGAACACCCACAGUCGACGAACAAUCUGUUAAGUCCCACAACAGGGGCUUGCAGAUAGAUACUGUGUUUCUGGGUGUCCAGGAGGGGAGCAUUUUCUCCCGAACUGCGUGACCAUGGCCACAGGCAACAAGACAAUGGGUGUUCCAUACUGAAGCUUGGAUGGGUUAUUGAUGUGCUCCACAUCCCACGGGGCAAGAAACUGGCAGAGCCUCGAUAUGAACACGGAGCCUCCCAGUGAUUUGCUGCUCCACCACUUUGCCCAUUUAUAAGAGGAAAACCUAUGAGGCCCCUGUCCUCAACAUCAUUUUGUCUCUAAAAUACUCUUCGAGCAAAGAGAAAAACUGCUGUUAAGAAAAUAUCACUAAACACACAGGACCCACCAAAACACAGACCAAGGAAGUCUAGGAAAGUCAUGGAUUGAGGAAAUAUGGAUUUAGUUACAGAACAUACAUAUUCUAUACUUCCACCUGUCCGUAAAAAGUACAUCAAAGGACUUUAUUUAUUUUUUUAUAACAUCAAAGGACUUUAAAAAACUCUAGCAAGAAGACACAGCAAAUGGAUCUUUUUAGACACCUUACAUACCUGCCUAGGAUUCGCUCGAUUUCAAUUUAGUCACUGAGUGAUAAGAAUUUCCUAAAAGAAUGCGGGCGCAAAGACCAGUAUCUCCUGGAAAGAUUUUUUUUUUAAGAUCAUUAGAUUGAGGAAGUCCAAUAAAGUAGCCCUUGUAAUGAUUUCUGAGGACGCUAUGUAGUUCCAAGUCUACUGCCCACCAGCUUUGUGACCUCAGGCAAAACGCUUGACCACUCUGGGCCUCUUCAUCGUUGUCUGUAAAAUGAGAGAGCACUUAUGGUGACAAGGUACCAUGAAAGACAGGGUGUUUGGCUCAGAAUCCCUAGGAAGUGUUCUCCUUAGUGGGGCCUGGUUUGCUGGUUCCUGCAAAGAUGCCUCAUUUGGGGCACAGAGGACAGGCAGUGCAGGAUCUGAAAUGCUACCCUACCAACCACCAGUGAAAUGCCUCUCUCAGUGCUGGAAACACAGAGCACCCAGGUGGCGUGAGCCAGAACAUACUCGAGGCGAUGGGUGCCAGGUUUAGGCUCUAACUCUGGCAGGCCCUCUCAGUGCUCAGCCAAAGUGUUGGGGGUGGGGAGAUUCUCUUCCCAUUUGUGACUUUUCUAAAUCCUCCCCUCUCCUAUAUCUGUGUCUGAAGACAAUCACAUUCCAGUUGAGGUAGAGCAGGGCAGGGGUGGGGGGGAACGGGGGAACGGGUAGGGGCGGUGGUGAGCCAAGCAACGUCUUGGAACCUUUGUCCCAAAUUGUGUGGCUUUUGCCGGACAUUCAUUUUCAAGAUGGGCUUUUGUUCUUUGGGGAGAAGAAAAAUCUCUCUUCCCUUUUGCAUGUGGCUACAGCAAAAGCUGCAAGUCACAGAGCUGCCAAUUUCAACACAUGUGCAUGGGCACACACACGCACACACGCGCACACACACACACAUACACACACACAUACACACACACGAGGAGAUCCUAGUCCUGGCUCCCUCUGAAACAAUUCAUCUUCAGCCUUCACUGUUAAUUAUGACUCUGUGCACCAAUAACCAAAUGACACUGAGCCUGGAGUGGCUGUCCCUGUCUCUCCACAUGACAUUUAUGCAGGUUGAUGAAAUCAUUCUGGGCAAGGUUAAGACAAGUCUCUCCAGUGCAAAGGUUCUGUUUAAAACAAACACUGCUUGCUCUUGGGACCUGGCAGGGAAAUUAAAAAGAAACCCAAGAUGCUCUAGGCUUCUGUCCUGGUUUCCAGGCAACCAGAUGCUGGGUGCAGGAAGGGAGAGGGGCUUUCUUCUGGUGCCAGACAGUAUUGAUAGACAGUGGGCUAACUUUCUGAGCCAAGGAGAUGGGGAGGGACAGAGGAAGCCUGCAUAAGCCUCAUUACCCUAAUCAACCAUAGAGUCGGCUUGUUGGCAGAGAGCAUUGAAAAAUGAGCCCAUCUGCACAGGCUGAGCUGGGGAGAGAUGCUUUUCUAUACUUUAAAAGACUGGGUGGCUAUAAGCUUGAUUCACAGGUAACCAUCGUCUUGGCAGCUCUAGAUUGGUGUGCGGUUCAGGUAGGCAAAGACAGCUGGGCGAGUGGGUCUCAGGGAGCCCCGGCAACCACUCACCUGGCAGAAGCAGGAGAAGACAGAACAGUGCUGGCCCUUUCUCUCUACGCUACAAUUCCACCAGGAUCCCGAGAGACCGCAUCUACCAAUCAGAGUGUUAGACAGGAUGCAAGGAAGAAGAAGAUGGACAAGCACCAAGCCAUCACAUCCCCUUCACUAUUCCUUUGUGCCCAAGUCCCAUGCCCCCGCGGGAUCACGUGAUGUAGUAGAACCAUCGGGGGCUCCUUGACAGACCCAGGUUCAAAUCUGUCCUCUGCCCCUUCCCAGCAAGCUUCCUUUCUCUUCUGUCCACAGCGUGGUUGUGAAUCAGCAUUCAGCACAAAGUAUUCCUACUCAAAAAAACGAGAGGUUUACAUCUCAGGAGUUUCUAUGGUGACAGUAAAGUCUGUCCUAGCCCAAAUGGCAAGCAUCCCUCUGGUUUGAACAGUGCAGAGAUCUGGCAUUUUCCUCGUCCCUGAACUUGCCGUUCCCCAAGUGCUACAUGGCACACAGGACCUGGGAUCCUUCUGUGUUACAAGAAGAGAGGGCAUGACUACAGAGUGUAAUUACAUAAAACUGCAUGGCCUAGGACUCGACGCCAGCAGGGAUGUUCCCGUUUGGUGAAGGAGGAAAGGAAAUUGCAGGGAGGGUACGAGGUCUGCUGAAGGCCACGGGGCUGGAUCAUAAUGGAGUUGGGUCUCCGUUCCAGCACCUGCCGGAGGGCGGAAUGGGCUAACCUAGCAAGAGGCUCCCCAGCUCUGCUCGCGGUCACAGUGCCUCUGUUCCCCCCACCGCCGCCAGGACUUCCACCCACCGGUGUGGUUCCUGGGACCCCCCCCGAAGGGGGAGCCGGGCUCUGCCUGCCUGAGCCCCGCACCGUCUGUCGGGCCCUGUUGCCCCCACUGGAGUUCCGGCAUCUCAUUCUUGAGCACAGUCAUGGUUUUGUUUUCCCGGGUGCCCGUCUCUCCUGAAUCUACAAAAUCAAAACAAAUCUACAAAACAACAAGCAAACAGAACCAGAGAGGAAUCAAGUCCCCAGGUUUCUGUCCUGGCUCCCCUGCCUACGGUGUGGCUUUAGGCCAGUUCCUAGAAUUACCCAAGCCUCAGUUUUCUCUUCCCCCGGACCCAGCUUCAACCCUUCCUUCUCACUGGUGCAGCACGAGGUUUAAAUGACAAAAUGCAGAGACGCCUGAGUCACAAGGUCGGUUAAGCGCCCAAUGCCCGGUUUCGGCUCAGGUCACGAUCUCAGGGUCACAAGAGAGAGCCCCGCGUCGGGCUCUGGACUGACUGGAGUCUCCUGGAGACUCUUUCUCCCCCGCCCCUCCCCCUUCUCUCUUUUUCAAAUAAAUAAAUUUAAAAAUAAAUAACAAAACCCAGAUCAAAU